This 254-nucleotide ribosomal RNA is filed under the name uncultured bacterium. RNAcentral's name for it is "partial 16S ribosomal RNA". It matches the Rfam family "Bacterial small subunit ribosomal RNA", at positions 524 to 776 of the family's 1533-position model. The record is from RNAcentral.
UACGGAGGGUGCAAGCGUUAUCCGGAUUCACUGGGCGUAAAGGGUGCGCAGGUGGGUUGGCAAGUUCGAUGUGAAAGCCCCGGGCUUAACCCGGGAAUGGCAUUGGAUACUGCUGAUCUGGAGGAUCGGGAGGGGGGACUGGAAUUCUUGGUGUAGCAGUGAAAUGCGUAGAUAUCAAGAGGAACACCAGUGGCGAAGGCGAGUCCCUGGACGAUACCUGACACUGAGGCACGAAAGCGUGGGGAGCAAACAGG